RNAcentral lists this transfer RNA (72 nucleotides) under Vicugna pacos (alpaca). RNAcentral describes it as "tRNA-Thr (AGT) (tRNA-Thr-AGT-31-1)". It matches the Rfam family "tRNA". Rfam says of the family: Transfer RNA (tRNA) molecules are approximately 80 nucleotides in length. Their secondary structure includes four short double-helical elements and three loops (D, anti-codon, and T loops). Further hydrogen bonds mediate the characteristic L-shaped molecular structure. tRNAs have two regions of fundamental functional importance: the anti-codon, which is responsible for specific mRNA codon recognition, and the 3' end, to which the tRNAs corresponding amino acid is attached (by aminoacyl-tRNA synthetases). tRNAs cope with the degeneracy of the genetic code in two manners: having more than one tRNA (with a specific anti-codon) for a particular amino acid; and 'wobble' base-pairing, i.e. permitting non-standard base-pairing at the 3rd anti-codon position. Lineage: Eukaryota; Metazoa; Chordata; Mammalia; Artiodactyla; Camelidae. The record is from Rfam by way of RNAcentral.
GGGGGUAUAGCUCAGUGGUAGAGUGUGUGCUUAGUAUGCACGAGCUCCUGGGUUCAAUCCCCAGUACCUCCA